CAAAGGUUUGGUCCUAGCCUUAUUAUCAAUUGUCUCUUAAUUUACACAUGCAAGUCUCAGCACGCCCGUGAGGACGCCCUCUACCCCUACCCCAGGCUUAGGAGCUGGUAUCAGGCACAUUUCCCCGCCCAUUACACCUAGUCCCACCACGCCCCCAAGGGUACUCAGCAGUGAUAAACAUUGUAUAUAAGCGUCAGCUUGACCCAGUUAAAGAGAAGAGAGCCGGCCAACUUGGUGCCAGCCGCCGCGGCUAAACCAACUGGACUCAAAUUGAUACCCCCCCGGCGUUAAGCGUGAUUAAAGCCACCUACUAAUUAGAGUUAAACCUAACGUUGAGCAGUGAAAAGCACACGACAGGGAAACCCAAAAACGAAAGUUACUCUAAUCUCUGCUUGAAUACACGACAGCUAAGAUACAAACUGGGAUUUGAUACCCCACUAUGCUUAGCCGUAAACUAUCCACCCACACCCAACCCACGCCAGGGAACUACGAGCCUUAGCUUAAAACCCAAAGGACUUGACGGUGUCCCACCCAACUAGAGGAGCCUGUUCUAUAAUCGAUGAUCCCCGCUUCACCCAACCCCCUCUUGCUUUAUCAGCCUGUAUACCUCCGUCGCAAGUCCGCCAUAUGAAUGCUCUUAAGCGGAUUCAAUGGGUCCCCCCCACCAACACGUCAGGUCAAGGUGCAGCCAAUGAGGGCGGUAAGUAAUGGGCUACAAUUUCUAAUUUAGAACAAACGGAAUACUGUAUGAAAUACAGUUAUGAAGGAGGAUUUAGCAGUAAAAAGAAAGUAGCGUGUUCUUUUUAACACGGCCCUGGGACGUGUACACACCGCCCGUCGCCCUCUUCGACAAUACUGUUCUGUUAUCUAAACCCAUUUGGAAAAGUGAGAAAAGAGGUAAGUCCGUAACAUGGUUAAGUGGUACUGGGAAGGUGCACUUGGCACAA
This 947-nucleotide non-coding RNA is filed under the name Hoplobatrachus rugulosus (rugose frog). Its description in RNAcentral is "12S rRNA". It matches the Rfam family "Bacterial small subunit ribosomal RNA". Lineage: Eukaryota; Metazoa; Chordata; Amphibia; Anura; Dicroglossidae. The record is from RNAcentral.